GACGAACGCUGGCGGCGUGCUUAACACAUGCAAGUCGAACGGAAAGGCCCUGCUUGCAGGGUACUCGAGUGGCGAACGGGUGAGUAACACGUGGGUGAUCUGCCCUGCACUUCGGGAUAAGCCUGGGAAACUGGGUCUAAUACCGGAUAGGAGCCAUUUUUAGUGUGAUGGUUGGAAAGUUUUUUCGGUGUAGGAUGAGCUCGCGGCCUAUCAGCUUGUUGGUGGGGUAAUGGCCUACCAAGGCGGCGACGGGUAGCCGGCCUGAGAGGGUGGACGGCCACAUUGGGACUGAGAUCCGGCCCAGACUCCUACGGGAGGCAGCAGUGGGGAAUAUUGCACAAUGGGCGCAAGCCUGAUGCAGCGACGCCGCGUGGGGGAUGACGGCCUUCGGGUUGUAAACUCCUUUCGCUAGGGACGAAGCUUUUGUGACGGUACCUAGAUAAGAAGCACCGGCUAACUACGUG
Molecule: ribosomal RNA, 464 nt
Filed under: uncultured bacterium
Lineage: Bacteria
Description: partial 16S ribosomal RNA
Rfam family: Bacterial small subunit ribosomal RNA
Source: RNAcentral